CAAGCCUAGGGCAAAUGUUGGUACGAGAUAUUUUGAAAAGCAAAUUGGCCAGUGGGUCUAACACAGCAGUGGUGGGAAGAGUAGUGUCAAUAUUAAAGGGGUCACCACGAACAAGUGAGUGCUGAGUCAGUUCAGAUAAAUCAUCAAACAACAAGCACACACCCUUCUUAGUAAAUGGAACAUGCAACCCAUCAUCAUCUAAACCCUUAAACUUAAGCAUAGCAUUGAGCAUCAUAGGAGUAAGGCGAAUGUAUUGAUCCCUAACCCGACUGACAUACUCAAUCGACCCAUCAGUUUCAUCAGUUUCAAUAUGCAGAUUACUGUAGAACUCAAGCACUAACAGAGGAUAACACACA
Molecule: long non-coding RNA, 356 nt
Filed under: Daucus carota (carrot)
Lineage: Eukaryota; Viridiplantae; Streptophyta; Magnoliopsida; Apiales; Apiaceae
Description: long non-coding RNA (DCAR_LNC007001)
Source: RNAcentral